Long non-coding RNA from Polypterus senegalus (gray bichir), 379 nucleotides. RefSeq lists it as uncharacterized. The record is from RefSeq and is a predicted model, not a curated record. NCBI's taxonomy places the organism in Eukaryota, Metazoa, Chordata, Cladistia, Polypteriformes, Polypteridae. The transcript is spliced from 3 exons.
UAAUACUGGUUCCUUCUGCAAGUACGGAAAGGUUCACUGCUAGAUGUCACAUGUAUUUUAUUAAGUUGUAUUUUUGUAGAAUGUCUUACCUUAAGAUUUAAAAGGCGUCAUCUGUGCUUAUAGGUAGCCCUGCUUAUUUCCCUUCUGUGGCACCUAGCACAUAUACAAGAAAUGCUGUUCCCUGGUUGUACCUGGCUACUUGCCCUGUGCUAACAGCAAAUGUCUUCAGUUUCAAUUCUUGAUUUUCAUCAUCUUUUAGGACCUUGGUGAGCCUCAUUUCUUUUAUGUGCUACAUUUAAGUGCCUGCUGUCUCCUUUCUCAGCAAGCCACCCAUGACAGGACACGUGUAGGUGCAGAUUGACUGGCAGGAUGACGCCCG